GAGUUUGAUCAUGGCUCAGAUUGAACGCUGGCGGCAUGCCUUACACAUGCAAGUCGAACGGCAGCACGGGAGCUUGCUCCUGGUGGCGAGUGGCGAACGGGUGAGUAAUGCAUCGGAACGUAUCCUGGAGUGGGGGAUAACGUAGCGAAAGUUACGCUAAUACCGCAUAUUCUGUGAGCAGGAAAGCGGGGGACCUUCGGGCCUCGCGCUCUUGGAGCGGCCGAUGUCGGAUUAGCUAGUUGGUGAGGUAAAGGCUCACCAAGGCGACGAUCCGUAGCAGGUCUGAGAGGAUGAUCUGCCACACUGGAACUGAGACACGGUCCAGACUCCUACGGGAGGCAGCAGUGGGGAAUUUUGGACAAUGGGGGCAACCCUGAUCCAGCCAUGCCGCGUGAGUGAAGAA
Molecule: ribosomal RNA, 403 nt
Filed under: bacterium enrichment culture clone ALO1_GLFRUDD03HBSLY
Lineage: Bacteria
Description: bacterial SSU rRNA
Rfam family: Bacterial small subunit ribosomal RNA
Source: RNAcentral